Carlito syrichta (Philippine tarsier) is the source of this 571-nucleotide long non-coding RNA. RefSeq lists it as uncharacterized. NCBI's taxonomy places the organism in Eukaryota, Metazoa, Chordata, Mammalia, Primates, Tarsiidae. The transcript is spliced from 3 exons. The record is from RefSeq and is a predicted model, not a curated record.
GCCCUUCAGCCCGCCGCUGCGCUAUGAGGGCGCCUUUCCCGGGCUGGCCGAGGCCGGAGCCGGCUCGCUCUGCUCGCGGGGCAGUGUGAAGGCAGGCGCAGACCGGAGCCGGGCUGCGCGGCGCUCGCGGGCCGGCGCGGGCUCCAGGUGAGCGCGGACUGGGAGAGCCCGGCACUCGGCACGGCCAGCCGGGCUCGAUCGGAGGCUGAAUCCCGUGCGUGGACCGCCCUUCCCUCUUCGCGGGAUCCUUGGCCACGAUAGCAGAUGCAUUUUGUAGGAGCAUUUUGAGGAUGAAUGUUUGCACAUCAUUUUGAAAUUGCCAAGUGCCACAUACAUGGAAUGCAUCCUGCGUUUAUCCUGGAGUUCACCUCUGUGGCUUGGAUUUAUCACAGUAGCGUUUGUCUUCUAUCUGUGUGUUAACUAGAAAUCCAGGAAAGACAUGAGGAGAUUUGUUUACUGCAAAGUGGUUCUAGCCACUUCACUGAUGUGGGUUCUUGUUGAUGUCUUCUUACUCCUGUACUUCAGUGAAUGUAACAAAUGUGAUGACAAGAAGGAGAGAUCCCUGUUGCCU